Sphaerodactylus townsendi is the source of this 160-nucleotide long non-coding RNA. RefSeq lists it as uncharacterized. The record is from RefSeq and is a predicted model, not a curated record. The transcript has 3 exons. Lineage: Eukaryota; Metazoa; Chordata; Lepidosauria; Squamata; Sphaerodactylidae.
UGGUGACUGAAGCAUUUAUUACUACAUUCUGAAAAAAGGAAUACUACUAUCCACAGACUCAUUGAGGACACCCAUGCUUCACCUGACAAGAGAAAUGCAAAUUUAAAGGAGUUCAACAAAGCGACUGCUGUUGGAAACCCUAACAAAACUGGACCUUCUU